This 1016-nucleotide long non-coding RNA is filed under the name Nicotiana benthamiana. Its description in RNAcentral is "long non-coding RNA (NBEN_LNC012975)". The record is from RNAcentral. Lineage: Eukaryota; Viridiplantae; Streptophyta; Magnoliopsida; Solanales; Solanaceae.
UCGAUGAUGCAAUUCUCUCGUUUGUACCUUUUUGAGGGCCUAUUCAAAUGACCAAAUGUUUUUCUGUGGCUCGCCUAUUAGAAUUGUCAGAUGAAGAAUCUGAUUUUGAACUUGAAUACGAAAUCUUAUCUGCUGGCUCAGCCGAUCCCUGGGAUGACACAGAUUUAGGAUGGGAAUUUUGAACUUGAAUACGAAAUCUUAUCUUCUGGCUCAGCCGAUCCUUGGGAUGACACAGAUUUAGGAUGGGUAUCUGCAGAUGUUCCCGGUGAAACCAGUGGCAGAGUUGUUGUUUGCUGGUGGUUGAUGCGUCUCCAGUGAACUUUUCAUGUUGUUCUUCCGACACUGUUCAUCAAUCGCAUCACUGGAUUUCGACGGUGGAUUGUCACAAAAUUGGCGUCAUUCGAUCCCCUUCUCUACGGGAUCAUUUCCCAAUUGAAAUUUUCCCAUAAUUCAUAACCAAUUUUCCAAAAUAUUGCACUUUUUGUAAUCACCAAGGUCAUGAUGUAUAAUCGUGUCGUUGGAACACAGAAGAAUUUAAUGAAAAAGCAGCUCAUGUUACUGAAUCUGAAGGCCGGGGCAGUUUGUCUAAAAUAGGACGUGAUGCCAUGGAAUUAUUGAAUGUGAUUAGUGCAGGUCGACGAGUUGAGGUGGUUUCACAUUCAGACAAUAGUGCUGCUAUCCAACAGACAGUGUCUGUUUCUAAUGCUACUGCUGUAGCACCAAUCCUAAGUCCAGUUGCAGUUUCUGUCCAGCAUCUUACGGAGCAAUCUCCUCCAACUUUGCAGUUGUCAAAUAAUGUGUUAUCUGAAAAGAAAUUGUCCAAGUUGCCUACAGAGACAUCUUCAUGCUGUCCUGUAGGUCGAAAUGAAUGUGAUCAUCAGGGUAAAGUCACUGAAUUGCCCCAAAGAAUUCCAAAGGAAGAUAUGGUCCAACCUGAACCAAAUUUGACUUCAAAUGAGGCAGUCCCUGUAAUGUCAAAGAUGUGGUCCAAUGCAUUAGUGCAGUCUCAUUGUGAG